Molecule: ribosomal RNA, 253 nt
Filed under: uncultured bacterium
Lineage: Bacteria
Description: partial 16S ribosomal RNA
Rfam family: Bacterial small subunit ribosomal RNA
Source: RNAcentral
CGGAGGGGCUAGCGUUGUUCGGAAUUACUGGGCGUAAAGCGCACGUAGGCGGAUUGGUAAGUCAGAGGUGAAAUCCCGGGGCUCAACCCCGGAACUGCCUUUGAAACUCCCAGUCUUGAGGUCGAGAGAGGUGAGUGGAAUUCCGAGUGUAGAGGUGAAAUUCGUAGAUAUUCGGAGGAACACCAGUGGCGAAGGCGGCUCACUGGCUCGAUACUGACGCUGAGGUGCGAAAGCGUGGGGAGCAAACAGGAUU